Molecule: ribosomal RNA, 253 nt
Filed under: uncultured prokaryote
Description: partial 16S ribosomal RNA
Rfam family: Bacterial small subunit ribosomal RNA
Source: RNAcentral
ACGGAGGGGGCUAGCGUUGUUCGGAAUUACUGGGCGUAAAGCGCGCGUAGGCGGCCAUUUAAGUCAGAGGUGAAAGCCCGGUGCUCAACAUCGGAAUUGCCUUUGAGACUGGGUGGCUAGAAUCCAGGAGAGGUGAGUGGAAUUCCGAGUGUAGAGGUGAAAUUCGUAGAUAUUCGGAAGAACACCAGUGGCGAAGGCGGCUCACUGGACUGGUAUUGACGCUGAGGUGCGAAAGCGUGGGGAGCAAACAGGA